This is a long non-coding RNA of Magnolia sinica, 560 nucleotides long. RefSeq lists it as uncharacterized. The transcript has 3 exons. Lineage: Eukaryota; Viridiplantae; Streptophyta; Magnoliopsida; Magnoliales; Magnoliaceae. The record is from RefSeq and is a predicted model, not a curated record.
AAUUUUGUUAUAUGCUUGCAUAGGUGAUUAUCCUACAAAUGUUAAUAAGCUCUGUUUUAUAGUUUUGUUAUUUGAAUCACCAUUCCCAUUUUCUGUGAAAGUGAUUAAUGCUUAUCUAUUACAUUUACUUCUUAGAUUGGAUUGGCGAUGUCUCCAUUGAGCAACAACUCCUUAUUUCUAGAAUAUAGUUUUGCCGCACAGGUAUGGAAGCUCACUGCUUGUGAUCUCUGUGAGAUAGCAAGAAAUUCAGCUCAUCAAUCUGGAUUUUCCCAUGGAGCAAAGGACAUAUGCAUGUGGCUGAGGCACUGAAAGUACCGCUUCACAUAUUCUUUACUAUGCCUUGGACGUAAGUCUUGUUGUUUGAGUAGAAAUCCAAUACUCUUAAAAUUAUUAGAGUCACCACCUUAUCAUUAUAUUUCACCUACAUUCUGCAAGUGCCUUUUCUAUAUGCCAUAUUGUUCAUUUGUCACUAUUACAUUUUUAGAAAACAUGAUGAAGCAAACAGAAAUUGCAGUUUUCUGCUUCAGAUAAUAUUAUAUUCUUUUGCUUUACACUUACAA